GGGUGAUUUGUGCUUCAUCCGCUGCGUACCAUGCAGUCGACGAUGAUGCCGCUUGCUGGUGGAUUAGUGGCGAGGGUGAGUAACACGUGAGUAACCUGCCCUUGACUCUGGGAUAAGCCUGGGGAUACUGGGUCUAUAUACCGGAUAUGACUCCUCAUCGCAUGGUGGGGGGUGGAGUGCUUUUGUGGUUUUGGAUGGACUCGCGGCCUAUCAGCUUGUUGGUGAGGUAAUGGCUCACCAAGGCGACGACGGGUAGCCGGCCUGAGAGGGUGACCGGCCACACUGGGACUGAGACACGGCCCAGACUCCUACGGGAGGCAGCAGUGGGGAAUAUUGCACAAUGGGCGAAAGCCUGAUGCAGCGACGCCGCGUGAGGGAUGACGGCCUUCGGGUUGUAAACCUCUUUCAGUAGGGAAGAAGCGAAAGUGACGGUACCUGCAGAAGAAGCGCCGGCUAACUACGUGCCAGCAGCCGCGGUAAUACGUAGGGCGCAAGCGUUAUCCGGAAUUAUU
RNAcentral lists this ribosomal RNA (512 nucleotides) under Pseudarthrobacter psychrotolerans. RNAcentral's name for it is "bacterial SSU rRNA". It matches the Rfam family "Bacterial small subunit ribosomal RNA", at positions 26 to 555 of the family's 1533-position model. Lineage: Bacteria; Bacillati; Actinomycetota; Actinomycetes; Micrococcales; Micrococcaceae. The record is from RNAcentral.